Molecule: long non-coding RNA, 685 nt
Organism: Bos taurus (domestic cattle)
Lineage: Eukaryota; Metazoa; Chordata; Mammalia; Artiodactyla; Bovidae
Source: Ensembl
CAUCAGUACAUAGAGGCUGUGGAUCGGGGGCUUCUCUGGAGGGAAAGGGUAGCACAUAAGCCAAGGGAUGUUGACAAGGAGUCAACAGUCAGGGAAGAGAAGAGACGUACAAUCCGAAACUGGGAUGGGAAUCUUCUAACUACGUCCAUCCAUCUAGUCAUGCGUCACAGUUUCACCAAGAUGACAAUGUACCAGGAGGUGAAUGAGGCUCAGAGGACACAAGAGCAAAUAUGGCAGUGCAUUUGUUGGAGCCAUGGGGCUGUGUUGUGGUAACAUGCAUCAUUAAUAACAAGCUGCAACCAGGUGAUCCAGAGCAAGGUUAGGCAUGAAAAUGCCCAGCUUCGGGGGCUGCAUUCAUCCUUCCUAAUACAUGACGAGCACCAUGGAAGAUAAUGGACUGUAUGAAGCUGAGCAGCCCCAAAGAAGAGAAGUACCUCCAAAAUAUGAGUUGUUUAUGGACACUGAAUAGGAUACCAAUUAAGAGCUUGGGUUUAGGAGCCAGACUGCUGUGAUCCAUCCUGGAUCUUGCACUUACUACCUGUGUAAUCUUGGGAAAUAAAAACCUUUCUGCACCUCAGUUUCCUAUCUAUAAAAUGGGUAUAGUAGCAGUACCUGCUGCAUAGGAUUGUUUAUUAAAAUAGACAACCAAGUAAAAUACUCCGCCAAGUGCCUGAUAUACAGUGCC